AGGUCACUGCUAUCGGUGUUCGAUUAAGCCAUGCGAGUCGUGAGGGGUAAAGCCCUCGGCGGAGUGCUCAGUAACACGUGGACAACCUACCCAAGAGUCAGGGAUAACCCCGGGAAACUGGGGAUAAUACCUGAUAGGCCAUGACAUCUGGAAUCGAGUUGUGGUUUAAACGUAAGGCUCUUGGAUGGGUCUGCGGCGGAUUAGGUUGUUGCCGGUGUAACGUACCAGCAAGCCUGUAAUCCGUACGGGUUGUGGGAGCAAGAGCCCGGAGAUGGAUUCUGAGACACGAAUCCAGGCCCUACGGGGCGCAGCAGGCGCGAAAACUCUACAAUGCAGGCAACUGCGAUAGGGGAACAUCGAGUGGCAUCCACCAUGGAUGUCUGUCCAAUCGUCUAAAAAACGAUUGUCAGCAAGGGCCGGGCAAGACCGGUGCCAGCCGCCGCGGUAAUACCGGCGGCUCGAGUGGUGGCCGAUAUUAUUGAGUCUAAAGGGUCCGUAGCCGGCUUUGCAAGUCCUAUGGGAAAUCCAGCGGCUUAACCGUUGGGCUUUCAUGGGAUACUACAUUGCUUGGGACUGGGAGAGGUAGGAGGUACUCAGGGGGUAGGGGGUGAAAUCCUGUAAUCCUUUGGGGGACCACCGGUGGCGAAGGCGUCCUACCAGAACAGGUCCGACGGUGAGGGACGAAAGCUAGGGGCACGAACCGGAUUAGAUACCCGGGUAGUCCUAGCCGUAAACGAUGCUCGCUAGGUGUCACGGCAGUCGUGAAUUGUCGUGGUGCCGUAGGGAAGCCGUGAAGCGAGCCACUUGGGAAGUACGACCGCAAGGUUGAAACUUAA
Molecule: ribosomal RNA, 836 nt
Filed under: uncultured soil archaeon
Lineage: Archaea
Description: bacterial SSU rRNA
Rfam family: Archaeal small subunit ribosomal RNA
Source: RNAcentral